GCGAGCGUAGCUCAGCUGGUAGAGCACCACGUUGCCAACGUGGAUGUCGCCGGUUCGACCCCGGUCGCUCGCUCCA
RNAcentral lists this transfer RNA (76 nucleotides) under Candidatus Auribacterota bacterium. Its description in RNAcentral is "tRNA-Gly". It matches the Rfam family "tRNA". From Rfam's summary of the family: Transfer RNA (tRNA) molecules are approximately 80 nucleotides in length. The record is from RNAcentral. Lineage: Bacteria; Pseudomonadati; Candidatus Auribacterota.